RNAcentral lists this small nuclear RNA (242 nucleotides) under Mesocricetus auratus (golden hamster). RNAcentral describes it as "7SK RNA (ENSMAUG00000003160.1)". It matches the Rfam family "7SK RNA", at positions 1 to 283 of the family's 331-position model. From Rfam's summary of the family: 7SK was discovered as an abundant small nuclear RNA in the mid-70s but a possible function has only recently been suggested. The record is from RNAcentral. Lineage: Eukaryota; Metazoa; Chordata; Mammalia; Rodentia; Cricetidae.
CGAUGUAAGAGUGAUUUGGUUGAAACAUGUUACCAUAGGGUUGAUUUGACUAGUAGAGUGUCCCCUUCAGAAGGACACUCACAGCUCCAUUGUGUCCCUCCUAAACUUUCAUGCUUAGUCAAAGAGGAACCUUCCUUGUUGAAGGCCAUAAUUCUUUUGCCCAGGGUAUCCAAGUAACUGGGUUCCCUUUAUUGAAACGACAGGCAUGCUCUCAAGUCUAAAAAAGAAUGAAUUCCUUUUCU